GGGGGGCUAGCUCAGCUGGCCAGAGCACUCGCCUUACAAGCGAGGGGGUAGAGGUUCAAGUCCUCUGCCGCCCC
This 74-nucleotide transfer RNA is filed under the name Thermus caldophilus. RNAcentral's name for it is "tRNA-Val". It matches the Rfam family "tRNA". From Rfam's summary of the family: Transfer RNA (tRNA) molecules are approximately 80 nucleotides in length. Their secondary structure includes four short double-helical elements and three loops (D, anti-codon, and T loops). Further hydrogen bonds mediate the characteristic L-shaped molecular structure. tRNAs have two regions of fundamental functional importance: the anti-codon, which is responsible for specific mRNA codon recognition, and the 3' end, to which the tRNAs corresponding amino acid is attached (by aminoacyl-tRNA synthetases). tRNAs cope with the degeneracy of the genetic code in two manners: having more than one tRNA (with a specific anti-codon) for a particular amino acid; and 'wobble' base-pairing, i.e. permitting non-standard base-pairing at the 3rd anti-codon position. Lineage: Bacteria; Thermotogati; Deinococcota; Deinococci; Thermales; Thermaceae. The record is from RNAcentral.